RNAcentral lists this ribosomal RNA (253 nucleotides) under uncultured bacterium. Its description in RNAcentral is "partial 16S ribosomal RNA". It matches the Rfam family "Bacterial small subunit ribosomal RNA", at positions 524 to 776 of the family's 1533-position model. The record is from RNAcentral.
UACAGAGGGUGCGAGCGUUAAUCGGAAUUACUGGGCGUAAAGCGUGCGUAGACGGCUAUCUAAGUCGGGUGUGAAAUCCCCGGGCUCAACCUGGGAACUGCAUUUGUGACUGUAGAGCUGGAGUACGGCAGAGGGGGAUGGAAUUCCGCGUGUAGCAGUGAAAUGCGUAGAUAUGCGGAGGAACACCGAUGGCGAAGGCAAUCCCCUGGGCCUGUACUGACGCUCAUGCACGAAAGCGUGGGGAGCAAACAGG